CAACCCCUAGCCUGGGAACCUCCAUAUGCCUUGGGUGUGGCCCUAAAAAGUAAAAUAAAACAAAAUACAUUUUUGCUCUGGAGACUGCUUAAUUUAGAUAGAAAAUGAACAAUUUUUCACAGGUGAAGAAAUGUUAGAUUGUAAUUUUGUGAGGAUAUUUUCUAAUUGAUGUCUUUGGGUAACUAAUUUUCUUGUUUGGUGCAACAUUGAGGGUGCUUAACAGGCACAGAAGUGGUGCAAUUAAUAAUUAAAGGUUUUAGGAUUAUAAUUAAAAUUAGGAAAGAUUUGAAAGGAUGACUUUUAUCAACAUUUAAUUUCUAGUACUGUUAUAGGUUGUUUUUUUUUUUUUCUCCUUUUAUUCGGCCUCCCCGAGGCAUGUGGAGUUCCCAGGCCGGGGAUCAGACCCCAGCCACAGUUGUGAGCUAUGCUACAGCUGUGGCAAUGCCAGAUCCUUUAGCCCACUGUGCCAGGCCAGGGCUUGAACCUGUGUCCUGGCUCUGCAGAGACACUGCUGAUCCCAUUGCACCACCAUGAGAACUCCUCUAGUGCUGUUAUAGUUAAACCACUCUCAGAAAUACUUUGUCAGCCCUUCUAUGUCUGGAGGGACUACCUAGUUUAAAUUCUUUUCUCUUGGUAUGGUCUAACCAAUUUGGAGAGUAUCACCUUCUACUAUUAUUUGUAAAUAGAGUAGAAAAGACUAGCAAAAGUGAAACCAAAAUUUUUAAAAAAUCACUGUUCAGCAUGUGGAAGACAUUUAAGAGGAGGUCCUUUAUCACCUUCUAGAGUGAAGUAUGGCUGGAAACAUAGCCAAAUUAGGGUAUAGUUAUUUAAAUGUCAAGUUUUUGGCACGGAAGAAAGCAGUGCCUGAUGGGGAUUUAUUUAAUCACGGCUCUUUUCAUCACUCAUUGAUUGGCAGUCUGUGGAACAAUUAAGUGGGCUGUCUACUUACAGCCUGAUCUGCCCAUCUCCUGGCUCCCACACGCAUUCUCCACCCCCCACUUCAUGCCUAACUCCUUUAGCCUCUGUGUUACUUCUAUUUAGUUUUUAUUGAUUUUUUUUUUUUUUUUUUUUUUUGGCUGUGCCCCUGGCAUGUGGAAGUUCCUGGGCCAGCCACAGCGGCAAUGACAACACCAGAUCCUUAGCCUCCUGAGCCGCAAAGGAACUCCACGUGUUAUUUCCUUUGGGCAGUCUUUCCUGAUGCUGGCAUCUGAAGCAGGCAGUCCUAAUGUAACUUUGCUUUAAGCUCUGGGUUUUGGCUUCUUGUGUCUAUUAUAUUGCAGUGUCUUGUCAUAAAAAUAAACCUGGGAGCCUAAUUUUAAUCUCCUUAUGUGGUUAUUUGCCUCUAGAACUGAACAGAUGCUCAAAUAUCAUUGUUAACGGAGAGGACUUCGUGGUCCAGUUGGUUUCUGGUGGGAGUCCUUUUGGAGAGUUGCUGAUAAUCAUACGAAGGCUUAUGUGAGAUGAUAUUAACUGUGUUCUUGAGCAACAAUGAACAGAUUUUAACGGAAGUUCCUGUAACACCAGAAACAACAUGUCGAGAUGUUGUAGAGUUUUGCAAGGAGCCUGGAGAAGGCAGUUGCCAUUUAGCUGAAGUGUGGCGGGGAAAUGAGCGUCCCAUACCCUUCGAUUAUAUGAUGUACGAACAUCUUCAGAAGUGGGGGCCACGAAGGGAAGAAGUGAAAUUUUUCCUUCGACAUGAGGAUUCCCCAACUGAGAGCAGCGAACAAGGUGGCCGUCAGACCCAAGAGCAAAGAACUCAGAGAAAUGUAAUAAAUGUACCUGGAGAAAAACGGGCUGAAAAUGGGGUUGGGAAUCCACGUGUUGAACUUACCCUCUCAGAGCUCCAAGAUAUGGCAGCUAGGCAACAACAGCAAAUUGAAAACCAGCAGCAAAUGUUGGUUGCCAAGGAGCAGCGUUUACAUUUUCUAAAGCAGCAGGAGCGCCGUCAGCAACAGUCUGUUUCUGAAAACGAAAAGCUUCAGAAAUUGAAAGAACGCGUGGAAGCCCAGGAAAAUAAGCUGAAGAAGAUCCGAGCCAUGAGAGGACAGGUGGACUACAGCAAAAUUAUGAAUGGCAAUCUGUCUGCUGAAAUAGAGAGGUUCAGUGCCAUGUUCCAGGAAAAGAAACAGGAAGUACAGACUGCGAUUUUACGAGUUGAUCAGCUCAGUCAGCAGCUGGAAGAUUUAAAGAAAGGAAAACUGAACGGGUUCCAGUCUUACACUGGCAAGCUCACGGGACCAGCAGCUGUGGAGCUCAAAAGACUAUACCAGGAGCUGCAGAUCAUGCACGUACUUUCUGUUGUUCAGAUUCGUAACCAGCUCAACCAGGAACAGAACUCGAAGCUCCAGCAGCAGAAGGAGCUCUUGAGUAAGCGCAACAUGGAGGUGGCCGUGAUGGACAAGCGCAUCAGUGAGCUGCGGGAGCGUCUCUAUGGGAAGAAAAUCCAGCUGAGCCGUGUGAAUGGCACGUCGUCACCACAGUCCCCGCUGAGCACGCCGGGCAGGGUCGCUGCAGUGGGGCCUUACAUCCAGGUUCCCAGCAGCGGCAGCUACUCUGUUCCUGGAGACCCCGUAAAGCCCCAGUCUCUCACCGUCGCCCCGAGUGCUGCCCACGGAAGAUCCAAGUCUGCCAAUGAUGGAAACUGGCCAACAUUAAAACAAAAUUCAGGCUCUUCAGUGAAAGGGACACAGAUUGCCAGCGUGGACUGGAGGGACUCUAGCACCGAGGGGCCUCUCAAGCAGGGGGCUGUCUCGAGCCAGCCUGUGCCCUUGCCAGCCUUGGGUGCCACAGAGAAGCUGGGCCUCGAGAUGGGCAAAGUGCCACCCCCGAUCCCUGGCGUUGGCAAGCAGCCGCCCCCAAGCUAUGGGACAUACCCGAGUCCUGCGCCCGUGGGCCCAGGCUCGACCAACUCCCUGGAGAGGAGGAAGGAGGGCAGCUUGCCCAGGCCCAGCACAGGCCUGCCCAGUCGACAGAAACCUGCCCCGCUGCCCCCUGCGGGCAGCCCCCACCCACCGGGUUCCUCGCAGCAGAUCCAGCAGAGGAUUUCUGUGCCACCAAGUCCCACGUACCCGCCAGCGGGGCUGCCUGCAUUUCCAGCUGGAGACGGCAAACCUGAACUCCCACUGACUGUGGCCAUUAGGCCAUUUCUGGCUGAUAAAGGAUCAAGGCCACAGUCCCCCAGGAAAGGACCCCAGACAGUGAAUUCAAGCUCCAUAUACUCCAUGUACCUCCAGCAAGCCACACCACCUAAGAACUACCAGCCAGCGGCACACGGCACCUUAAAUAAGUCGGUUAAAGCAGUGUAUGGGAAGCCUGUGCUACCGUCUGGCUCGACGUCUCCGUCCCCAUUACCGUUUCUGCAUGGGUCGCUGGCCACGAGCACCUCGCAGCCCCAGCCACCGUCAGAAAGCGCGGAGAAAGAGCCGGAGCAGGACAGCCCUGCCCCUCCCGGCGACGGGGGCGGCGCCAGCACCGUGGAGAGCCUGCCGCGGCCGCUCAGCCCCACCAAGCUCACGCCCAUCGUGCACUCGCCGCUGCGCUACCAGAGCGACGCCGACCUGGAGGCCCUGCGCAGGAAGCUGGCCAACGCGCCCCGGCCUCUGAAGAAGCGCAGCUCCAUCACGGAGCCCGAGGGCCCCGGCGGGCCCAACAUCCAGAAGCUGCUGUACCAGCGGUUCAACACCCUGGCCGGAGGCAUGGAGGGCACCCCCUUCUACCAGCCCAGCCCCUCGCAGGACUUCCUGGGCACCUUAGCCGACGUGGACAACGGGAACACCACGGCCAACGGGAACCUGGGGGAGGCUAGCCCGGCCCCCCCCACAGCCCCUCACCCUGCGGAGCCGGCCCCGGCCUCAGACGCCAAUGACAACCAGCUCCCUUCCCCCGAACCGGAGGGGCUCACCUGUCCCCCAGACACCCACCAAACAGCUGAGCCGGCUGAGGAUGACAACAACAACGUGGCCACAGCCCCGUCCACAGAGCAGGUCCCCAGCCCUGGGGCCGAGGCCCCCUCUCCAGGGGAGGAGCAAGUCCUCCUGUCACUUCCCCCGGCCGUGCCCCCUCCUGCUGUCUCUACGGUGGGUGUCACCCUAGACCAAGGCCACCGCUCCCUCGUCACCCAGCCAGCACUUGUCAAGGAUGCGCCUGUGUUGGCUGUGGUGCCAGGGGCUCUGGGGCUCUGCGGGGGCUCUUGGGGUGGUGGUCUCCUACUAGGGGGCCCAAGAAGAUGUCCCCAAGGAGAGAGGGCCACGCCUGGGAUCCCAAGGGCAGGCAGUGAGGAAGGAGGAUCUCCAGACAAAACCCGGCGGGAGGGCUGCGGAGGGAGCCCUCACGGGCGGGAGGGAGCUGCCAGCUCUGGGUGGAAGCAGUUAAGCUUGGCUGCCUCCCCGGGGCGCCCCGGGCAGAGCUGGUCCUGUGCGGCCCGGGGCUGCUGCUCCACCUGGCCCCUAGCCCCUGCCCGCGGCCCACCGCAGCGGCCUGUCACCUUUAAGUCACAAGCGUGCUCCUUCCCAAUAGAGCAAACGGACCAACCUGAAGAAGCCGAACUCGGAGCGCACGGGGCACGGGCUGAGGGUCCGGUUCAACCCCCUGGCGCUGCUUCUGGACGCCUCCCUGGAGGGGGAGUUCGACCUGGUGCAGAGGGUCAUCUACGAGGUGGAGGACCCCAGCAAGCCCAACGACGAGGGCAUCACCCCGCUGCACAACGCCGUCUGCGCGGGCCACCACCACAUCGUGAGGUUCCUGCUGGACUUCGGCGUCAACGUGAACGCCGCCGACAGCGACGGCUGGUGAGGCCCCGGGUCCGUCGGGUGGUGGGUCUGGGGGGGACGAGGAUGCGGCACGUGGUCCCAGAGCUGCGCGGCCCCCCGGCCUGAGUUCUUUCAGCGGUUCUGUGAAAGCCUCGGCUCUGUGAGUGGGAGUGGUUGGCUCGUGCUGCGGUGCAGGCCCUGGGCCUCCUGAGCCGCAGGCAGCUGUCUGUUGUGCGUUCGAACAACUCGUGCUUUUUCAGUGUCACACGUGCACAACAGUUAUCAGCACAGCUGUUGCAAAGGACGCGCCGGCCGUGGGAGGGACGUCCGUCUUCUAGGCCAUUCUCAGUCCACUCCCCACCCGCCCUUUUCCAAAGCAGCGUGUGGUAGAAAUCAGGCCACUGAAAAGACAGCAGCGCGGCUGCUUGCUGGGCCCUGAGCAGCCAGCCCUGGGGCGGCCUGGUCCCAGCCACCCCGCAGGGCACGAGCGUCGCCCCCGUCCCUUCCAGGACGCCACUGCACUGCGCCGCCUCUUGCAACAGCGUCCACCUCUGCAAGCAGCUGGUGGAGAGCGGCGCCGCCAUCUUCGCCUCGACCGUCAGCGACAUCGAGACGGCUGCAGACAAGUGCGAGGAGAUGGAGGAGGGCUACAUCCAGUGCUCCCAGUUUCUAUACGGCGUGCAGGAGAAAUUGGGCGUGAUGAACAAAGGCGUGGUCUAUGCCCUGUGGGCUUACGAUGCCCAGAACAGUGACGAGCUGUCCUUCCACGAAGGGGACGCCCUCACCAUCCUGAGACGCAAGGAUGAAAGCGAGACCGACUGGUGGUGGGCUCGCCUUGGGGACCGGGAGGGCUACGUGCCCAAAAACCUGCUGGGGUUGUAUCCGCGGAUCAAACCCCGGCAGCGCACGCUCGCCUGAACUUCCCCCAGGAGGCCCGCAGCGGCUUGCCCGCGACGAGGAGCCCCCGAAGAGAGGAUCCUGCCGUCUCCCAGGAAGGCCGGAGCUGGAGGUGGCCUGACGGUGCUCCGUCCGGCAGGCAGCAUGCAUGUGAACCCCAGCAGUUUCUAGGUGAGGCCCCGGCUCCACUCCGCCCCCGGUGGGAGAGCAGGUUCUCCUCCAGGGAGACUGAACUUGCUGUUAGUGCAGCUCCGAAUAAAUAGCCAGCUUUCUCAGCCACCGCCCUGUUGCCACUGAGAAGCCCCGUCAUUAACCCCGGGUUGGUCGCCAGUGAAGAUACACGCUCUGACGGACACGGGCCCAAGGCCCUCGUUCCCAGUGUCACCCCAGCCCCAACAGCGAGAACUCGCAGCUGCCAAGGUGCGUCCCCCGCUAGAGCCCUGCCCUCCUGUUCCCGGAGGUCACAGAUACCCUCACCCUUUCCAUCCUCGCCACACGCGUGUCUUCCUCUCGUCACCAAAGGAGCCCCGUUGGAAACGUCUGUCUCUUGGUGGCGCCUAAUGCGUGGGCUCCACUUCCCAUGUCAGGCCCUGGCCUAGGUCACCCACGGCUGGCGGUGCUGGGCUGGACUCCAUGCCACGGGCACGAGGGCCCCUAGGACCAGGCGACACGCGGUCAGGCGUCCCAACCCAGCACCACCUUCUCCGCAGCCCCUUGCUGCCCAGGCGUGUUUCUCAGCCCCUCAUGGCGGGGACGCCUGCUCGGCACGAGGGGCAGCGGCGAGGGUCCGGUGGCCGUGAUGCAAUAACCUUCCCCCCAGUUCCAGACCUAAAGCAAGUAUUCACCUCGGGAAGUUUGAACUGGACGUGCGGGCUUUUAUGUGUAACCCAAAGUAUUUUUUGACUAAGCCACUCAAAACUAUCAAAACCAUGUUGGAAAUGUUUUCUCUCAUUAAAAUCCAGGCCCUUAGGCUUUAUUUUCC
This is a non-coding RNA of Sus scrofa (pig), 6627 nucleotides long. The record is from RefSeq and is a predicted model, not a curated record. Lineage: Eukaryota; Metazoa; Chordata; Mammalia; Artiodactyla; Suidae.